Molecule: ribosomal RNA, 255 nt
Filed under: uncultured bacterium
Lineage: Bacteria
Description: partial 16S ribosomal RNA
Rfam family: Bacterial small subunit ribosomal RNA
Source: RNAcentral
UACGUAGGGUGCAAGCGUUGUCCGGAAUUAUUGGGCGUAAAGAGCUCGUAGGCGGUUUGUCGCGUCUGCUGUGAAAACCCGAGGCUCAACCUCGGGCCUGCAGUGGGUACGGGCAGACUAGAGUGCGGUAGGGGGAGAUUGGAAUUCCUGGUGUGAGCGGUGGAAUGCGCAGAUAUCAGGAGGAACACCAAUGGCGAAGGCAGAUCUCUGGGCCGUAACUGACGCUGAGGAGCGAAAGCAUGGGGAGCGAACAGG